UUUUUGAACUAAAAUGAGUGUCCUACAUAAUUUUUGGAAUUUCUAGUGUAUUUAUUCUAGUGUACUUAUCCCCUUUUCUAAUGCUUGCAUACAACAAAAGAAAGGAGAAGAGACGCAUCAUCUCAUUCAUGCAUAUCCUGGGAAUGAAAACUAACCUCUAAGCUCAUUCUUCUCCGUCAGUGCUGCUUCUGGGACUGUUCUUCCCAAUAUGAGAUUGUAAAAGAGAUCGAGCAAAUGCUUAUGCUGGCGAACAGCUUCGGAUGGUGAGCACCUUUUUAGUUCGAGAGGUGAUAUCGCUUCACAGAACCUCAUGGACAUCAUCCCGAGAUCCUUAUCUAUCGACUCAUCUUCUUCAUUUUCUCUCACUUCAUUCAUCGAAUUCUUGGUCUGCAACAUUAUUUUCCUCAGCACAAAGGUGGGAAUUUGAUUCUCCACCAUCAUCACGUCUUUGACGAUGGAGUGUCGGGUCAUCGGUGGACUUCCCCCUCGAUCAUCUUCCCCAAUCGAGUCUUCCUGCCUGAUAUUGGCCGGCUUAUCUGGGUCCAUUUUCUCUUGCUUGUGCUUGUAACUGUACAGUAGGUCGAGCAAGAACAAGCUGUCGAUGGUCAUGAUCCAUUUCAGAGUGUCCGUGCCGACUUCCAGGUGCAGCUAGUAGCUUGCGCGAAUCUUCGCCUUGUCCGCUUGGAGCAAACCAGCCAUCUGAUCGAAUGCUGGGAGCUUCAGCGUUGCCUGCGCUCGCCGGGCUACGGCCAGCUUGGGGUGCUCCGUCUGGUAGAGCUGUGGCCGGAGGUGGUGGUAUGGUCCCAGCGCAACAUGGUGCGGGACGUAGGCCUCCGGCUUUGUGGAGCUGAUAAAUUCAGGCACACAGUGUGAGAAGAAAAAGAAUCUAGAAGAUAACCUGUAUAUGAGAGAAUUCUGUAUUCUAUAGUUGCUGAACAAUCAAUUGCAAUACAUCAGUUGAACAUUUCUUUUCAUCUUUCUUCUUGUUCAACCUUACAAAGCUUUACUAUAUGAAGAAGAACAAAAAAUACAGAGAGAGAACUUGAGAAGAACAGAGAGACUCGAGUUUUUAGAAAUGUAUCGCCUUGGUUCAUCAGUUUCCUUCAAUCCCUUUAUACUAAAGCUUAACUACUUAGAUUUUCUUCCAAAACAGAUUUAACAACUUUAGUAACAGAAUGAUUAAUAUUGGCACACGUGCAGCUCCUUCAGUAGCUUGAUCAAUUUCUGUUCCUGGUUUUAAUCUUUUGUAUAGUCGGAUUCUUCAUAGGGAUUGCUAGCUCAGCUUUCCUACGGAUCACCAGCUCAGCUUUUGUUUCUUCGACUUCUUUAUAGCUUGCCAGCUCAUAUUUUAGCUUCACUUCGAUCUUGCUCUGCUUUGGUUUAUUCAGCUGCCUUGUUCAGCUGUAGUCGCAACUCAUCUUUCCCUUCUUUUAUCAUCUUCACUUUGCUCAGCUCCUCUGCUUCUAUCAACUUCUUUGUUCUGUGUUUUUAAUCUUUGUUUUGUCUCUUUAACACAGUGGACGGAAACUGGGGUCUCAAUAUUGAUCCCGUGAUUUAGGGCGUCUCGAAUGUGCUUCACCCAUUGCUCCUCACUAAGGCUUGGGUUGAUGAUGGAGGUCGACGAUGAGGACAUGCUUGUUCGACGAGGUUUAGAGAGCUAACUUAUAUCUUUUAGUCGCAUACAAACACACGUAUCUUUCGCCUCGUUGCAAAUAUGAAAGAAAACAAGGCUGACCUUCAUGGUGAUGCGAAGANNNNNNNNNNNNNNNNNNNNNNNNNNNNNNNNNNNNNNNNNNNNNNNNNNNNNNNNNNNNNNNNNNNNNNNNNNNNNNNNNNNNNNNNNNNNNNNNNNNNAUUAUUAUUCCACACCAAUUCCCUCCUCUCAUCAAAUAACGCCUAGUUCUUUUCCUUUCUAUUUUUUUUUUUUUUUUUUGAAGAAUUCUCGCUAGCUCUUUAUUUAAGUAUAUGUUUUUUUUAAAAAAAAUUUGCACAUACAUGUUGUUAAAUUAAUGUCCAAGUUUGAGUCUUUAUGGAUUUGAUUAGUUGGAAGAUUUUGAUUUGUUCAAAAUCUGUUAUUCCCCAUCCAAAUUAGAUUUUGGUUUCUUCUUCAUGGGCGUUGGUUUUCGAUAAUAGUCCAAGAGUGUAUUCUUACGGAUAAGACUUCAAGUUUGAACCAAAAGUUUUACACUAAAGGACAAAAGAUGGGCGCUCUAUCUUUUUUAUUAUAUUUUUCUUUUGAGGGCAAAAAGGUAAUUAUCUGAGAAAGAAACAAAGUAAGGGUUUGUUUUGCUUUUAUUUCUCCUGCAGCCAUACUUGGUCUCUUUAUAAAAGUGGCAUGAAAGGUGAGGUGCGCCUGGUACAGUUUUCCCAAGAAACUUUCGACCUCCAAAGUCCCUUAGCGAAAUAUUGAGGUAUUUGGUAAGUUUUCUGAAGGAGCUAUUGGCCGAAUGCUAGCAUUGGCAAAACUAAAAGUCCAAUGCUAGUACUAUUAACAUUUGGUGAAAUGCUGAAAUUAGUUUUCUCUUCCAAAACUACUCUUACUAAUUCUUCAAUUUUUUGAUUUUGUUGCUCAAUAUACUUUUUUAAUUAAAAAAAUGACUCAAAUCCUUCGCCAGUCCAGCGAAGGGCUACAAUUGCUAACAAGUCAAAUCUAGCAUUGAUGACCGUCAGUUGAGAUUGCCCAACCUCGGCCGACCUCUAUCAAGGGUCGCGUGAUCCAAGCAACCACUACCUGAGGUCGCGAGACUUAGGAGAUGGUCAUGUGGGUGCAAGCUACUUGGGUCGAGUGACUCACCGAAGGUCGUCGGUGCCAAAUCUGGCUUGUUAGCGGCCAUAGCCCUUCACCGGACCAACAAAGGGCUUAGGUCAUUUUUUUAAUAAAAAUAUAAAAAUAUAUACCCAAAGCCCAUUGCAAAACUUUUUUUACCAAGCACAAUUUGAACUCAAAAUUUAUUUGCAAAGAUUUUUUCCCAAACGCAAAUUGCAUUUUCCCAAAUAGCUUUGAUGUUUAGCAUUUGCAUUACACUUAAAGCCCUUUGCAAAAUUGAACCAAACGCACUCAUANNNNNNNNNNNNNNNNNNNNNNNNNNNNNNNNNNNNNNNNNNNNNNNNNNNNNNNNNNNNNNNNNNNNNNNNNNNNNNNNNNNNNNNNNNNNNNNNNNNNNNNNNNNNNNNNNNNNNNNNNNNNNNNNNNNNNNNNNNNNNNNNNNNNNNNNNNNNNNNNNNNNNNNNNNNNNNNNNNNNNNNNNNNNNNNNNNNNNNNNNNNNNNNNNNNNNNNNNNNNNNNNNNNNNNNNNNNNNNNNNNNNNNNNNNNNNNNNNNNNNNNNNNNNNNNNNNNNNNNNNNNNNNNNNNNNNNNNNNNNNNNNNNNNNNNNNNNNNNNNNNNNNNNNNNNNNNNNNNNNNNNNNNNNNNNNNNNNNNNNNNNNNNNNNNNNNNNNNNNNNNNNNNNNNNNNNNNNNNNNNNNNNNNNNNNNNNNNNNNUCAAUACUCACAUCGAGCCAAGUAAAUCUCUAGUUUUCUAUUACUCCUUGUUUAUUUCUAUGAUAUUUUUCGCAUUGACUUAUUUGCAAGAUCUUAUCAUUUCCGCGUAUUAUAUUUCGAUUAGUAUCAAAGCUUCAAAUCUGAUUUCUUAAUUAUGAUUUGGAGCUUUUGCUUAUUUAAUUAUUAUCUGAAAAUUCUAUUAUUGCAGUUAUAUUUGAGGCGAAAGUUGAAAUUGAGAAAUUUAAUAGGAGGAGCAACUUUGGGUUAUGAAACAUCAAGAUGCGGGCGCUACUAACAAUCCAAAGUUUGGCCAAGGUAUUGGAUGGUGAAUAAGAGUUGCCGCUUAUAAUGAAAGCCUCUGAUAGGCAAAGUUAAUGGAAAGAUCAAAGAGUACAAUCUUGUUGAAUUUGUCGAAUGAGGUGUUAAGAGAGGUGGUCAAGGAGAAGGAUGUUGCAAUGUUAUGGGCAAAACUUUAGGUAUUCUAUGUAAAGAGGGUUUGAACAAUUGCUUAUAGAUGUUGAAGAGAAUGUUUCGAUUUAAAUAUACUAAAACUACAUCUAUUAAAUCCCAUCUAGAUGAAUUCAAUAAACUCAUAAUGGAUUUGAAGAAUGUUGGUAAGAUACUUGAUAAUGAAGAACGGGGCAUGUUGUAGGGGCCUACUACAAUUACCUUGGAAGAGGUAAAGUCUAUUCUAUUCUUUAAGGAGUAGCAGAGAAAGUUACGAGAUAAUGGUCUAAUGCAAGAGGUAAUGCAAGCAUUAACGAUUAUGGGUAGGGAAUAACAUCGAAGGCCUAGUGGAAAUAGAGUCAAAAGUAGGUCGAAAUCAUGCUAGAAAAAGUCCAAGGUAUGCGUGAAGUGCUUUGAGUUUCACAAGGAGGGGCAUAUUAGGAAAGAUUAUCUAGAGUGGAGAAACAAAUGCAAUAGAUAGAAUGCCACAAGCAAUGUAGCGAACGUUGCUAAGUAGAGUACUAGUGAUACAGAGGUUCUUUUAUGUGUGCUUGCUAGUUCAUCAAGAGACAAAUUGGUGCUAGAUUUGGAGCAUUAUUAUCAUAUGAUGCCUCAUAAGAACUGUCUUACUAAUUACCUAGCUACAAAUGGUGGUAGAGUUAUUUUGGGGAAUAACAUAGCUUGUAAGGUUGUGGGGAUGGGGACAAUUGGUAUUUGGAUGCACAAUGGAGUCAUACACACAUUGAUAAACGUGAGGCAUAUACUCUAGCUCAAGAAGAACCUUAUUUCUCUAUGGACACUUAAAGACAAGUACACCACUGAAGGUAGAGUACUGAGCAUCUCUUGACAUGCCAUGAUAGUGAUGAAAGGGAAGAAAUUGAAUACUCUUUAUUAGUUACAAGGAAAGACCAUGACUAGAAUUAUUGCAAUUUCACUAGGUGAGUUAAUCUCUGACUUAACUCAAGUCUAGCAUAUGUUUUUAUGGCACAUGAGUGAGGCAGGUAUGAAGAAACUAAGUGAAAAUGGGUUGUUGAAGGGUGAGCAUUGCAUCUUUAGGAAGUAACAUUGAAUAAAGUUUACUUCAGUUGUUCAUUCGACCAAGUGACUAGUUAAAUGCAUUCAUUCAAACAUCUAGGUUCCUUUGAAAUGAGGUGCCUGGUAUAUGCUAAAAUUUAUCGACAAUUAUUAAAUGAAUGAAUAGUUAUACUUUCUGAAGCACAAAUAUGGUGUGUUUAAUCGGUUCAAGAAAUUUAAGGCAUUAAUUGAUAAUUAGUUAGAUAAACAAAUCAAGUGCCUAAGAACUAAUAAUGACAUGAAGUUCAAUGAUAAAGAUUUUACUGAAUUCUAUAUGAAUAAAGGAAUUAUGAAACACCGCCCAGUACUUGGGACACCAUAGUAGAAUAGCAAUAACAAAACUUUGCUUGAGGGAGCUUGAUGCAUGCUUUUGCAUGAAGGACUAGGCAAAGAAUUUUCGAGCAAAGUAGUGAACAUGAUAUGUUACUUAGUUACUCGAUUUCUAUCAUUUGCUAUCGAGUUUAAGACUCUUGAGAAAGUAUGUCAGGGAAACUAUUGAUACCUAAAUUUUAAAAUUUUAUUUAAGAAUUAAUCGCAUAAAAAAGUAGGGGUUAAUUUUCAAACCCUAGCAAAGGGAAAGAAAAAAAAGAAAAGUAAAAACAAAAAAUCAUUAAAAGGUAUUGUGUUUUCAUUAUUGCACUUUGAAUGGUCUUUUCUUAAUUUUUUCCAAAAAGAAUUGUCAUAAAAAAGAAAAAGGAUUAAAAAUUAUCAAAAUAAAUUAAUUACAAGAGAGAGAGAGAGAGAGAGAGAGAGAGAGAGAGAGAAGAAAAAGAAAGGAAAAUGGGAAAUAUGAGACUGGGCCGGGGGCAGGUUAGCCCGACCUCUCUCUUUCCCUUUUCUUUCUUUUUGCUUGGGCCGGCCCACUUUUCUUUUAUUUUGCCCAAGAUGAGCCCAGCCUUCUUUUCCCCUCUCUCUUCGUCCUUCACGCAUUCUGCGGAAAGGAGGCGGACGUACGCGAGCAAGAGGAAGGACAGAGGUUGAAGGGACAAGCAUGAGCCUCGCACCGGAGUUGGUGGUCGGGGGGGCAGACCGGUAGCAACGGCUGGCUUGGCAGAAGGCCAUGCGCGUCUAUGCUUAAAAGCGAGAGAGGAGCAAGUGAAGACGAGCCGUAGGACAGAGAGCUGGGGGAAAGUUUGAGCGAGUGGGAGAAGAGGAGAGCCGCUCAAGAGAGGAGAUCAGAGAGAAGUGCUUGAGAGAGAGAGAGUGGAGAGCCAAAGAGAGGCUCGACCGUGCACACGGCAUCCCGCUCCCCGACGCCCUUCUUCUGGAUUCCAGAGGGCACUGAAAGAGGAAAGGUAUCUCCGGGAGAUGAAGAAGAAGAGCAGCAACAGGCCGUCCUUCUCGUCCACGCUCCUCGACAAGAUCAACAGAUCCAUCGACGAAUGCGAGCCGAAGCGCGAGCCAAGAAGCAGGGGGGCCGCGGUUUGCCUCCUCCGUCGAGAAGCAGCGCGGCAGCGACAGGGCCAAUGCCGCGGCGGACGCGAAGAGGAGCUAUUUUUCGCAGCAGCUGCUCAGGAAGCCCAAGUACGAACCCGACCACGACAGCGACGAGCUAUACUUUACCUCCACUUCCAUUUCUUCCAUUUCUCGGACACCGAGUCCGUCAGGGGCGCGAGAAGACGACCACUUCGUCGUCUUCUUGCUUCGCGCCGUUCAGGCUCAAGCUCGUGAAGACGAGAGUCGCCGCCGCCAAAAGGGAGGAGAUACGGUAUGCUCCGUUUGGCGAACGGAGAGAAGGCCGAGAAGACCAUGGGCGUCAAUGCUGAAAAGCGAGAGGAACAAGCGAAGAGGGAAGGGGGGGGGGGCGUUUUCUUGUUUUUCGGCAUCGUUUUGAGCAACACGCGUAUGCAGGGAGACAAGGAACAACGAGCAUAACGAGGAGCAAGGAAAUGAACGACCAUUCCGGUGAAGUAUUCUCACGAGUUCCUCGCCCGACCAUCAUUCUUUGAUAACCGGAAGUUUUGGUCUUGACUGGUGACCGUGAUAUGUUCUAUUCCAAAGACGAGGUUAGCCGAGCUCGAUCCCCCUUUUGUUCUGUUUCGUCUCGAUCGACCUAAGGACUGAGAUUUGUUUGCUUCGGUUAUGCACGUAUGGGUCUCUCGGGCGAGUCACCUCUGACUUCAGGGACUGCGUUUGUUGCUUGAUUUCGAUUCUGGACAUGACUUCGAGCCCUGAAUAGAGAGUCGGUUCAUGCUUAAACUCGAGAUUGACGUGCCCUUGCCUCUGUGCUCGCUGAACCGCGCUUGUUUUGUUUAUCGCUUGUGGUGUUUCUACGUGAUUGUUGCAAAAUGGUUGGGUAUUGUUGAGUUGGCGAAGGGUUUUUCUUGGUUCCGGUAAGUGGAUUAGCGGUCGCCGGAGUUUGUGGCGGGCGGUGGUCGACGCCGGUGAGGAUGGAAGCGAGUGGUGAAGGGUCGGUGGUUGUACAGCCACCAGCGACCAAGGAUUGCCAACUGUGAAGAAGAAGAUGUACCGUGGAAGCCGUCGGUGAAGAAGAAAGCACGGGGAGAAGAAGACCCAAAGGGGAAAAAAAAUUGCAGAAAAAGUGAAACACAAAAGCUGGCUUUGGGAAAGAGAAGCCGCAGAGAAGAGAUGUAGUAAAAAAGACGAAAUAGGCAAAAGACAAAAAAAAAUUGAUUAAAAAAUAUUAAUAUUAAUAUAAAAAAACAAAAAAAAAAGGUUUUAAGAAAUCGGUUUUGUCUAUUUUAGUUUUAAUCCAGAUUUGUGUCAAGCCAAUGGACUGGAUUGGGUUUUACCGGUUUGAACCCGUUUUUCUGAAUAUAAUAAUAUUAAAUAUUAAAAAAAAAUUCAGAAUUUCGUUGGAAAAAUUUUAAAAACAAACUUUCCAAGCUAUUUUCUUAAAAAAUGGAAGUUUCUUAACUCUAAAGUAUGCUAAAAAAUUGAGUAAGCCCUUAGGGUUCUACCUUAGGGUUUCAAUGGUCUUCAAAGACAAUUAUUCUUGUUUGCAUGCUUGUGCUGUUCUAACCCUUUUAGUCCAGUUAAGAUUAACAUUUAUCUUUUCCUUAAUGUUAAAUACUUGCUCUCCCAUGCAAUUUAUUUAAAUGCUUAUCUUAGCUGCUAAUUAUUAUUUUAAUGAUUGCACGCCCACAUGAUCACUUCACAUGUUAGCGGAUUGGUCUAAAAUGAACCCAAAUUGUCCGACAAAAACCUUUUUUUUUUAAAAUGAACAAGAUUAGGUAACAAAAGGCCACUAAUUGGUUAAUUAGUGUAAUCAAGUUCCCGACCCUAGAUUAUCUAGUUGCGUGAGGUACACUCUCACGCCUCACUUGAUUUUUAACCAACCCCAAUAUGUUAGUGGCGGCUCUUUAUUGCGAAAAUUUUAAGAACACCCCAAUGUCGCUCGAGGUAUGAGCUUGGGAGAGUCUAUGCCUAAUCAUGGGCCUUAGGUCCAUCCUUUAGGCAAUACCCAUAAAUCUAUUCUCUCACCCCGAGGGGUAAGUUGUGAUAGUAACCUAUUGAUUAUUCUGGAUUACAUACAUUCAAAUAUCCUGUGUAUGCUCAUGCGAGUGAUAUUUUUGAGUUAUGGACAUGGGGUGAAAUGUUACUGGCUAUGGUGCACUGAUCCUAGAUCACUUGGUUUUUUAAUCAGCAAAAACGUAAUCUUAAACAAUACUGUAAUACUUCAACAGAGGAGUAUUGUAACAAAACUAGCAGAGUAGAUAAAUCAUGGUGUCAUUAGUGAGGUAAAGCUUCAGGUGAAGAUUUCGAAGACCUUAAAAGUAACAAAAGUUGAGAUUAUAAAUGAUGUUAUAAUUCCUAAAGUUGGUAAACUAAUCAGCACAGCCGCAGCACAUUAUAGCUGUAGAUAGACAGAUCAGUGUUGAUAUACACUAUAAUAACCAAUGUGUGAUAUUUUUGGCAUAUAAUUUAGUUUAUUAUGAGCGAACGAGAUACAUCAAUAGUAGGUAUCACUUCAUCUGAGAGAUUUUAGCAAAGGGUAUGUUAUUGUGGAAAAAAUUGCUACAGCAAAUAACCCAAUGGACAUAAUGACUAAAUCUAUUUCUUUGGCAAAGCUCAAGCUCUGUUUGAGGUCAAUUGGCGUCUGUGUACAGUGAGCAACCAUCGGGGCAUUAGGAGAGCAACAUGGAUUAUGAGUGCUACAACUUGGUUUUGAACAUCAAGUCGAGGUGGAGAAUUAUUAAAUUAAUGUUUCGAGUUUGAGUUAUUACGGAUCCGUUGGAAGAUUUUGAUUUGUUCAAAAUCUGGUAUUCCCCAUCCAAAUCAGAUUUGGUUUCUUAUUCAUGGGUGUUGGUUUUCAAUAAUAGUCCAAGAGUGCAUUCUUGCAGAUAAGACUUCAAAUUGAACCGAAGAGUUCUGCAUUAAAGGACAAAAAUCGAGCACACUAUCUUUUAUUAUAUUUUGCUUUUGAGGGCAAAAGGAUAAUUGCUUUUGAGGGCGAAAAGGUAAUCGUCUGAGAAAGAAAUAAAGCAAGGGUUGUUUUGCUUUUAUUUCUCGUGCGGCCGUACUUGGUCUCUUUAUAAAAGUGGCGUAAAAGAUGAAAGCUUUACAAUAUAUAUGUUGCCAAAUCCUAGUUGAAGUUGCACACGAUGGGCCGAGCGUUAAAAGUUGUUGACUCUAGACACAAUGUAUAAAAAGACGUGGGUUUCAUCACAAGAAAAGAAGCGUCAAACGUCUAGAGCACCACAUGAAAAAAAGAGCUACACAAGCCAAGAAGAAGCCGUCGUGCGCAAGAAAAAAGACGAACACGUUGAGUUCUAUCUUGGGCAUAUGUAGAUGUCUUGAACGCUUGAAAUAUUUUCUGCUGUGAGUUUACGCCCAAAUGAGUUGUUUAUUUAUAGAUACUUUCAAUUUAAGCUUAAAUCUUGAUGUGAGAAAGACCCCAACAUGUAAGUGAUUGUAAAUUCUGAUUCUUCGAUUAUAGUGUAUUAUUUGCUGCUAGCUCUAUCUAUAGAUGUAGAUACUGAUAUUCAGACUGAACUAAUAUUUUUCAUAUUGACUUAUCUAUAAGAUCCUGCCGUUUUCGCAUAUUAUAUUUGAACACAUAUUGGUAAGGGCAAUCGGUUUCAAGGUAAGUAGAUUCUAGACUUGGAAUUUAGAACCGUCCUAGGGUGAGUUUUGUUGAAUUUAAGGUGCGAUGCACAUGCUAAAGCCAAAGUCCUUUAGAAGAAAUGCAAAUUGAGUUUGGUAAAAACUCAUUUGCAAAACAACUUUGGGUGACGCAGUGUUUGGUAAAAAAUAAAAUUGCAAAGGCCUUUCACAAUAGUUUUUCUUUUUUUAUUAAAUAUAAAUCAAACCCUUCGCUAGCUCUGGUGAAGAGUUCAAGCCGCCAACUAGCUAGAUUUGGUGUUGGCAACCUAGGUCACAUGACCUCAAGCAACCCUUGGCGAGGGUCACACAACUCGGGUGACUAUCACUUGGGCAGUUGUGCGAUUUCAGGUGGCCAUCGCAUGGGUCGCAUGACCUUCCUUGUCUCUUGCUGGCCCUUCACGAGUUGAAUUUGACCUCGUUGGCUCUCGUCAACUACCUUAGCAAAGAAGAUGAAGUGUAACAACAAGAGGUAAAAUUGAAAAAUUAAAGAAUUGGUGAAGAUAGUUUUGUAAGAAAAAAUUUAUUUAACCCUACUUUUAGCAUUUUGAGAAUGAUAUUUUGAAGGUUGGUCCCUACUUGUUUUGGGCCUUCAGCAUUCCCAAGAUCAACAUUUGGCCAAAAACUACUUCGAAAAGCUUGCCAAACAUCCAGUUUUUCCCCAAGGGGCAUUAGAGGCCGAAAGACCCUUGGGAAAGCCAAAUCAAACGCAAUAUUCUAAAAUUUAUCAUGUUUGCCUUGGAACCUAUUCUUUUUUCUUCUUUUUUUGAUUCCAGGAUCUACCUAAGAAUCUAUUUUUCUUUUGUUCCUUAUUUUAGCUUCAUUUUCUGUGGUAAAAAAAUAUUAGUAAUAAAAUGAUUCAAAGUAAAAGAUAAUGAGGAUGAGCGAGCAAAGGCAAUUUGGGAACAAAAGAGUGAGGCUCAAACAAGCUGCAAGCAAUAGAGGAGGAGGGUGAGUCACAAACAAGAGAGAGAGUCAUGAAGUGUUAUGUAGUCUAAGUGAGGUUAGAGAGAACAAAGAAAAAGAGAGAAAAAAAAGAAGAAGAGGUUUUUAGACUUUAUGAAACCGGUUCCAAAUUCGAUCCAAUCGAUUCAUUGCCCCAAUCAUUCUUCACUUCGAAUAGGGAAGCAGUUCAAAAUUUGGAAGUGGGAACUAGACCAGUUCCAACUAGAAGCUGUAAUUAGACAAAAAAAUUUAGUUUGGUCUAGUUCCAAGUAGAAUCGAUCUGGUUACACAGUUCUACACGUGGCCUUAUACAUUUGGAAGCGUACGAUACAAAUGCUUAUGUUGUGUUGAAUAACUGAGGACAACUCCACACGGAGCAAAAUGUCUGCAGAACCAUGAGCAAAAUGAGCACGACUGUGGUGACCAUAGUGAGGAACUUCCAAGAAGAGUAGACGUACUUCCUCAUGAGAUUAUAACCCUUGACCUUUCGAGUGUUGUUGUAGUACCUGUUGACGUCUUGAAUCGUCUUGUCCAGCUCCGACGCAGUGCUUUUGGAACCUAUGGAUUUGAUCAUUCCAUUGAAGAGCUCCACGACCUUGUCAUCGCAGUUCAGAUGGUUUGAGAUGAUGGACGCUUCCCUCAGCAACUUCACGUCCUCAGAGGUGUCGAUAAUGCCGUACAUCAACUCCGUGUAUCGCGUCAAAACCGAGGAGCCACGUUGCGAUAUCAUUUCGUAGGCCACGAGGUUUCGUAGUAGGACUUCGGUGGGAGCAUUCAGAACGAUCCGAGGGAGGUUCAGAGUAGCGGUUUUUGGAUCAAAACCGAUGGUUCUGAUACCUCCUACAGCCAAGCGUAGCUUGAUCCCGACGCUGUGGAGCCUCGACACCGUGGGGAUCAUAACACUUUCUUGAGAAGGGUCUUUCUUAAGGCACUCGGAGCAUCCGGGUAUCAAUUGCAUUACCAAUUUAAUUAACUUGAAGACAAGUUCGACCGGCACUUUCAGCUUCUUCAUGAAAGAGAAUUUCGAUAACUCAUUCCAUGCCUCAGUGACUUUGGAUGAUGGAUUGGGUACCAUCUUGAUCAUAUAGCUAAAGGUUGCACCUGUUGAUAAAUAGGUACUUUUAUUCACUUUUUUAAUGGGAUUAAUAUACUAGUAGUACCAAAAGUUGUAUAUAGCGCUCAUUUAAGUGCCAGAAGUUUUCGCUAUCUCACUCAAAUACUAAAUUGGAUAAAAGAACAAUCACUUAUGUGACAAUAACGAGAAAUUCUAGUCAAAUUAAUUACGCGGCAUUUAUAACAUGACUUGGUAUAUUUUUUAAAAACUCUAGUCCAUGUGGCAUUUCUACUAACAUGCUUGAUAUUGAAGCUAUCGUUUUUUAAUAAUGGUUGGUACUGAAGUGAUCACUUUAACAAAAUUUAUACUCAAACGAUUAUUAUUUACAACUUUUAGAUGAUAUCGUUUAGGGUUUAUAUAUUGACUAAGUACGCCGGUGAGUCACGUAGGACAUAAAAAUUAAUAAAUAUAGUCACAUCAAAUUUUUGGCGACCUAAAAUGGAGUUGACACUUUAAGUAAUCAUUUUUUUUUUUAAAAGUGAUACUUAAAUAAUCCAGAAAAACCUUUUUGAACUAAAAUGAGUGUCCUAUAUAAUUUUUGGAAUUUCUAGUGUAUUUAUUCUAGUGUACUUAUCCCCUUUUCUAAUGCUUGCAUACAACAAAAGAAAGGAGAAGAGACGCAUCAUCUCAUUCAUGCAUAUCCUGGGAAUGAAAACUAACCUCUAGGCUCAUUCUUCUUCGUCUGUGCUGCUUCUGGGACUGUUCUUCCCAAGAUGAGAUUGUAAAAGAGAUCGAGCAAAUGCUUAUGCUGGCGAACAGCUUCGGAUGGCGAGCACCUUUUUAGUUCGAGAGGUGAUAUCGCUUCACAGAACCUCAUCGACAUCAUCCCAAGAUCCUCAUCUAUCGACUCAUCUUCUUCAUUUUCUCUCACUUCAUUCAUCGAAUUCUUGGUCUGCAACAUUAUUUUCCUCAGCACAAAGGUGGGAAUUUGAUUCUCCACC
RNAcentral lists this long non-coding RNA (13067 nucleotides) under Eucalyptus grandis. RNAcentral's name for it is "long non-coding RNA (EGRA_LNC004188)". Lineage: Eukaryota; Viridiplantae; Streptophyta; Magnoliopsida; Myrtales; Myrtaceae. The record is from RNAcentral.